Molecule: unclassified non-coding RNA, 200 nt
Filed under: soil metagenome
Description: partial contains internal transcribed spacer 2 and large subunit ribosomal RNA
Source: RNAcentral
AUUUCAACCCUCAAGCUCUGGCUUGGUUUUGGGCUCUGCCGGUCAACUGAACGGCUUGCCUUAAAGUCAAUGGCGGUACCACCGAACCCCUCCGCGCAGUAGUUUUUUUUCUCGCGAUUGGGAUUCGACUGGGUCCAUAGCCUUACCCUAAUUUAAUAUUGGUUGACCUCGGAUCAGGUAGGGAUACCCGCUGAACUUAA